UAACCCACUGCGUGAGUAAUAACUUAAAGAAUGUGUUUCACAUUAACACAUUUUAAUAAUCAAAAUACGCUUCAUUUGCUUGAAUCAUUCCAGCACUUCAUCUUGAUUAGGGUUUUUGAGAUAAAUGAGAUGAAAACAUGUAAAGAACAAAAUCUACAUAUUAUAACUGACAACUUGGACAUAAAUUUAGACAUUUCAUAUAAAACAUGCAGAGAGCUUAUAAAAAAAUAUCUCAAAAUUAGCUGUUAAAUAUUCACCCCGCACCAGUUUUUUUCCGUGUUAUGUGACAGAAUUAGAAGUUUUUGCAUGUUGUUAACUAAUGUAACAUCUCACUCUGUUCAACAUAUGUGUUAUGUGCGUGUCUCAUGUUUUAUUUAGGUGGCCUGUGGACCAAACAGAUGUUCUCAAGUCAUUUGCAUAACUUCACACAUCAAGGCAGUCACGGAGGUGAGGGAAGAUGCAGGCUCCAACCACUAUUACUGUAGUUCCUCAAAACCAAGCAGCUUCCAAGAUGAAGCUCUGUGCCACAUUUGAAGAGCAUUAAUGAGCUGGAGAUCUCUGUAUCGUGUGUUAUUAAUAGGGCUGCAGCAGGGAUCGUCCCGUCCACACUCACUCACUCAGACGCUCUCCAUCAGAUGAACCGCGUGUCGUUGUUCUGAAACAUUCAUAAAUGCACAAUGCCGGAGGCCGCCUCAGCAGAAAGUGAUGACAAGCCACGGCGAGAAGUGAUGACAUGUUACAUGUGCCUGCUAGCGACGGCCGCGCAGCCAUCAGCUGAGAGCAUACUACCCAGAGAGGCAUUAAUAAUCAUCUAUGAAAGGGAGAUUCUUGUGUCUCAUUUAUACGAUUAGCCCUUAUAAUGUGCCCUUUACUCAAGUUACCUGCUGCUUUACACAAACAAGGUAUGAAAAAAGGAUUUUUCUUUCCUCUUUCAAUAAAUAGUCAGUGACAGGAGGUGGCUUUAGGAAAUGUUGAUCGUAAAGCUCAAGAAUCAAACUAAUAUUUGAUCUAUUUAGCAGUCUAAAUAUGGUUCAUAAUCCUGAUUUGUGUUAUUUUUAAGCAAUAAAUAUACUAGGGUAACUAGUUUAAAUGGUUGAGCUUGAAGAAUGCAGUCAACAUUGCAAUUAAAAAACUGAUAAAACGUAAGGAGAUUAUUUACUUAAUUUACUUACGUAAUGUGAUUACUUACAUCGCUACGCUUAUGCUGUAUGCUGAAAAGGGUCCAAAUGAUGUGGUAUCACAAUUUUAAGACAUUAUAACAAAUCACUGCUUGA
Ctenopharyngodon idella (grass carp) is the source of this 1274-nucleotide long non-coding RNA. RefSeq lists it as uncharacterized. NCBI's taxonomy places the organism in Eukaryota, Metazoa, Chordata, Actinopteri, Cypriniformes, Xenocyprididae. The transcript is spliced from 3 exons. The record is from RefSeq and is a predicted model, not a curated record.